RNAcentral lists this long non-coding RNA (1925 nucleotides) under Homo sapiens (human). RNAcentral describes it as "HSALNT0384847". The record is from RNAcentral. Lineage: Eukaryota; Metazoa; Chordata; Mammalia; Primates; Hominidae.
UAGAUAUUGCUAAACUGAAAAAACAAGUUUUUGAGGCAUCUCAGGCUCAUCUCACCCUAUUGCCUGGAGCUGAUAUUCUUGCUGGAGCCUCUGAUGGCCUUUCUAAUACCAAUCCUUUAAAGUGGAUUGAAACCAUAGGUGGAUCAACAAUUGCAAAUUUUAUUUUGGUUUGUGUCUGUUUAUGUUGCUUGUUUUUAGUCUACAGAUGCAGAUGGUGCCUUGGGAGAGAAACCAGACACCAUGAAUGAGCCAUAAUAGCAAUGGCAGUUAUUAAUAAAAAAAAAUCAAUAGAGGCAAAAAAGGGGAACAUGUGGGAAAGUGUUUCUGGGGUGCCAGUUGAGUUGGUCUCCCCUGUGUGAGACACCCAUGGGAAGCCAUGGGCAGCCUCUGGGGAGAAAAGUCUCCUUAUUGCUUUCAUGUCUUUAUGCCCCAAGAGCAUAACCACUCAGCAGCAUUCCACAGGUUGCUCAGGGAGACAACACUCCCUUGAAGCAGUGGAGUAUAAUCAAACAUCUUGGCUCCUCCUUAAACCCGCUCCCACCCAUUUCAGUCCUGAUAAGCUAAAGAUCUUAAGUAGUUUAGACACACGCCUUUGCUCAAGGAAAUUCACAGAAACCGCCACUGCUACACAUCUUAUGGAAUGACUCACGAGUUCUCCUUCACUGAUUAAUCCUUUUCCUCAUCCCUUCCUCCCCCUCCCAUCUGCCCUAAGAACAAAGAGCUUGUAAACCAGUAAAUUUGGCAGAGCUCAAGAGCUCUGGGCCGUGAGCAAGCCUCCGAUAUUCUGGUCCCCUGAACCCGCCUUUUAAAUGCUUAUUCUGUCUCUUUCUAACUCCUAUGUCUCCACCAGACUCAGGGUACCCACUGGGUGGUGUGGGGCUGGUUUCCCUAACAUUCCCCACCAAAUAAAGCAGCUCCAACCUUCUAGAUGGUUGCUCAGCUCAGAAGUCUUAGAGAAAUUCUGAUGCCUCUCCUCACAUUUGCUCUGUCGGCAAAUCCUGGUGUCACAAGAGGGCUCAGGAGGGUUUCUGGAUGCCAACGAGACCCCAGCCACAGCCGGUCCCCAGAUUCUUGACAUCAUCACAAGAAAGAAUUCACAGAUGGUGCACAAGAAGGCUCUCGCCAGAUGCUGGUCUUGUGAUCUUGGACUUCCCAGCCUCCAGAACUGUUCUACUUGAAUCAUAGUUUCUUUGCUCCUGGGAGACCCCUGCUAUUCCCAGUGAUGCUGCGAACUGGGGUUCAAAGUGGGGUGGCCUGGUGAGGCCUAAAAUCCAUGUCCCGUGGAGAACUGCCUGCAUCCCUUACAGAACCUGCCACAUAUUUCUGCAGCUUCCAAGAGGAAGGCUGGAAUUUACUGAGCUUACUGAAGCCAAUUAUCCCAAGAGUAUGUGAUCCAGAAGCAAGAUAAAGAUCAAAAGGACUCAGCUGGGAUUUGGCCUUCUCCAAGUGGAAGGAAUAAAAUCUGCAAUUGGCUCUGAAAAUAAAAACCAAACAAAAUCUCAGGCAAUCAUAGACAUGGCUCUUUGCUAUUUAUGAGCUUUUCUUUCUUUCUUUUUUUUUUUAAUUUAAACAAAUGUUAAAAGAUUUUUGUGUGGACCUCAGAUUCCAGCUUUACACUGAAACUCAACAUUAGUGUCGAAGCACUUGCAGGCCAUAUGUGCUCCAGCGAGGGUUUGGGAAUGUUGGGUGGUGUUGGUGGGCACCCAUAAUUGCCACUUGCUAUCACGUGAAUGCCUUAGGCAUGACGGAUUGCCAGUGCCCCUCUGAGCAGUCACUUGGAAGCUUUGCCAAAAUAUAAAUAUGUAACAUGAACAGAGGGUGCGUGACUUUUUAACUGCAGUAGCCACCUUUCAGACACCUGAGGCUUUGGUGUCCUCAGUUCCAAAAGCCACACAGCAGCUCUUAACCUGGAGAGAGGAAGGCAC